AUUCUUGAAUGCUAGACUCAGUCCAGCUUCAGUCUAGUUUCCCUCACCUCCCCACUCCAGUGUUGUUGAUGUGGUUGAGGUCAGAGGGGUAAAUAUGAGGUUCAAGGGAUCAGUACUGGAGAAGGAAACAGUGUUUACCUCCAAGUUCUAGAUCCAAGAUGAGAUCAAAAAACGUGACCUGGCGAGGAGCUAUCAAAUGAGCACAGCAAUGGGAGCACAGCAAGAAAUGUUCACUGAUAUUUCUUGGAAUGAAAUUAUAGAUACACUUCUGCAUUUGAAGUAUUAUAGCAAAAAGAACUCCUUCAAGGUGAAUUUAACAACCAGACUGAGGGACUCUGCUAAUUCACUUUAUUCUGGUCUCAUCCCUGAUGGAAAGGACAAGAGUUGACAAUGAGGUGAGACCAUGAAGGAUAUAAACCCUCAUGCUUUAGAUCAUAAGCCAAUUUGCAAUAACCUGUGUUUAGGAAGAGCUUUUCCCACAGGUUUAUAGGAUUGUGAAAGUAUAUUUGCUGCCCAGGACCAUGUCCAGAUGCCUUCCAUGUGUCUCCAAGGCCCACGAAUGUCUCUGCAACAUCUCUGAUCCACCUGUGCCACUGCUUGGUCACCCUCACAGUGAAAAAGUGUUUUCUGAUGUUCAGGAAGCACCUCCUGUGCUUCAGCUCGUGCCCAUCUCCUCUUGUUCUGUCCUUGGGCACUGCUGAGAAGAGCCUGCCUCAGUCUUCUUUGCACCCUCCCUUCAGGAUGAGAAGACAUGGCCUCAAGCUGACCCAGAGAGGGUUUAGAUUGGC
Molecule: long non-coding RNA, 788 nt
Filed under: Parus major (Great Tit)
Lineage: Eukaryota; Metazoa; Chordata; Aves; Passeriformes; Paridae
Description: lncRNA (ENSPMJG00000000264.1)
Source: RNAcentral